UACAGAGGUCCCAAGCGUUGUUCGGAUUUACUGGGCGUAAAGGGCGCGUAGGCGGCUCGGCACGUCCGUUGUGAAAUCGCCCGGCUCAACUGGGCGGGGUCAGCGGAUACGGUCGAGCUUGAGCAAGCUAGGGGGCAAUGGAAUUCCCGGUGUAGUGGUGGAAUGCGUAGAUAUCGGGAGGAACACCAGUGGCGAAGGCGGUUGCCUGGGGCUUUGCUGACGCUGAUGCGCGAAAGCGUGGGGAGCAAACAGG
RNAcentral lists this ribosomal RNA (253 nucleotides) under uncultured bacterium. Its description in RNAcentral is "partial 16S ribosomal RNA". It matches the Rfam family "Bacterial small subunit ribosomal RNA", at positions 524 to 776 of the family's 1533-position model. The record is from RNAcentral.